CCCUUAGAUGUUCGGGGCCGCACGCGCGCUACACUGAAGGAAUCAGCACGUCUUUCUCCUUGUCCGAAAGGACUGGGUAACCCGCUGAACCUCCUUCGUGCUAGGGAUUGGGGCUUGUAAUUCUUCCCCAUGAACGAGGAAUUCCCAGUAAGCGCGAGUCAUAAGCUCGCUUUGAUUACGUCCCUGCCCUUUGUACACACCGCCCGUCGCUACUACCGAUUGGAUGGUUUAGUGAGAUCCUCGGAUUGGUCCCGGCGCGGCCUCUGGUCGUGCCGGAGUGCCGAAAAGAAUGUCGAACUUGAUCAUCUAGAGGAAGUAAAAGUCGUAACA
RNAcentral lists this ribosomal RNA (330 nucleotides) under uncultured eukaryote. RNAcentral's name for it is "partial 18S ribosomal RNA". It matches the Rfam family "Eukaryotic small subunit ribosomal RNA", at positions 1470 to 1796 of the family's 1831-position model. The record is from RNAcentral.